This 447-nucleotide ribosomal RNA is filed under the name uncultured bacterium. RNAcentral describes it as "partial 16S ribosomal RNA". It matches the Rfam family "Bacterial small subunit ribosomal RNA", at positions 30 to 523 of the family's 1533-position model. The record is from RNAcentral.
AUUGAACGCUGGCGGCAGGCUUAACACAUGCAAGUCGAACGCCCCGCAAGGGGAGUGGCAGACGGGUGAGUAACACGUGGGAACGUACCCCUUGGUUCGGAAUAACUUGGGGAAACUCAAGCUAAUACCGGAUAAGCCCUUAUGGGGAAAGGUUUACUGCCGAAGGAUCGGCCCGCGUCUGAUUAGCUAGUUGGUGAGGUAAUGGCUCACCAAGGCGACGAUCAGUAGCUGGUCUGGGAGGAUGAUCAGCCACACUGGGACUGAGACGCGGCCCAGACUCCUACGGGAGGCAGCAGUGGGGAAUAUUGGACAAUGGGGGCAACCCUGAUCCAGCCAUGCCGCGUGAGUGAUGAAGGCCUUAGGGUUGUAAAGCUCUUUUACCCGGGACGAUAAUGACUGUACCGGGAGAAUAAGCCCCGGCUAACUUCGUGCCAGCCGCCGCUGUAA